AGAUUGAACGCUGGCGGAAUGCUUUACACAUGCAAGUCGAACGGCAGCACGGGGGCAACCCUGGUGGCGAGUGGCGAACGGGUGAGUAAUACAUCGGAACGUGCCCAGUCGUGGGGGAUAACGUAGCGAAAGCUACGCUAAUACCGCAUACGAUCUAUGGAUGAAAGCGGGGGACCGUAAGGCCUCGCGCGAUUGGAGCGGCCGAUGGCAGAUUAGGUAGUUGGUGGGGUAAAGGCUCACCAAGCCUGCGAUCUGUAGCUGGUCUGAGAGGACGACCAGCCACACUGGGACUGAGACACGGCCCAGACUCCUACGGGAGGCAGCAGUGGGAAUUUUGGACAAUGGGGGCAACCCUGAUCCAGCCAUUCCGCGUGAGUGAAGAAGGCCUUGGGUGUAAAGCUCUUUGUCCGGAACGAACGGUAGCGUGAAUAUCGCUGCCUACUGACGGUACCGAAGAAUAAGCACCGCUAACUACGUGCCAGCAGCCGCGUAAUCUA
Molecule: ribosomal RNA, 497 nt
Filed under: uncultured soil bacterium
Lineage: Bacteria
Description: bacterial SSU rRNA
Rfam family: Bacterial small subunit ribosomal RNA
Source: RNAcentral